RNAcentral lists this small RNA (682 nucleotides) under Pan troglodytes (chimpanzee). RNAcentral's name for it is "retained intron". Lineage: Eukaryota; Metazoa; Chordata; Mammalia; Primates; Hominidae. The record is from RNAcentral.
GAGUGAGUCUUUGGUUGUUUGUGAUGUUGCCGAAGAUUUAGUGGAAAAGCUGAGAAAGUUUCGUUUUCGCAAAGAAACGAACAAUGCUGCUAUUAUAAUGAAGAUUGACAAGGAUAAACGCCUGGUGGUACUGGAUGAGGAGCUUGAGGGCAUUUCACCAGAUGAACUUAAAGAUGAACUACCUGAACGACAACCUCGAUAUCCUUUUCUUAGUGCUUUAAAACAUUUAUUUUCUUUAGUGGUCAGACCUGUUUGUGAGCUCAUUUGUUAAACAUCUAAAAAAAAACCUUCAUUGUGUAUAGUUAUAAAUAUCAACAUGAUGAUGGAAGAGUUUCAUAUCCUCUGUGCUUUAUUUUCUCCAGUCCUGUUGGAUGUAAGCCUGAACAACAGAUGAUGUAUGCUGGAAGUAAGAAUAAGCUAGUCCAGACAGCUGAACUAACCAAGGUAUUUGAAAUAAGAAAUACCGAAGACCUAACUGAAGAAUGGUUACGUGAGAAACUUGGAUUUUUCCACUAAUGUGAACUUCUGUGUUUCUAAAGUAUUUAUGUAUUAACCUGACCAUACUGGAAUCAGACAUAAAUACUUAUUUAUGCCUAAAAAUGCACUGUUACUUACAGUUUGUUUCCUGCAGUAAAGAAAAAUUCUUCAUUUGUGCAAAAUUUGAACAAAGAGGAAAUCAUCU